Molecule: ribosomal RNA, 2923 nt
Filed under: Klebsiella pneumoniae
Lineage: Bacteria; Pseudomonadati; Pseudomonadota; Gammaproteobacteria; Enterobacterales; Enterobacteriaceae
Also listed under: 1 other name
Description: bacterial LSU rRNA
Rfam family: Bacterial large subunit ribosomal RNA
Source: RNAcentral
GGGUUGUGAGGUUAAGCGACUAAGCGUACACGGUGGAUGCCCUGGCAGUCAGAGGCGAUGAAGGACGUGCUAAUCUGCGAAAAGCGUCGGUAAGGUGAUAUGAACCGUUAUAACCGGCGAUGUCCGAAUGGGGAAACCCAGUGCAAUUCGUUGCACUAUCGUUAACUGAAUACAUAGGUUAACGAGGCGAACCGGGGGAACUGAAACAUCUAAGUACCCCGAGGAAAAGAAAUCAACCGAGAUUCCCCCAGUAGCGGCGAGCGAACGGGGAGCAGCCCAGAGUCUGAAUCAGCUUGUGUGUUAGUGGAACGGUCUGGAAAGUCCGACGGUACAGGGUGAUAGUCCCGUACACCAAAAUGCACAGGCUGUGAACUCGAAGAGUAGGGCGGGACACGUGGUAUCCUGUCUGAAUAUGGGGGGACCAUCCUCCAAGGCUAAAUACUCCUGACUGACCGAUAGUGAACCAGUACCGUGAGGGAAAGGCGAAAAGAACCCCGGCGAGGGGAGUGAAAAAGAACCUGAAACCGUGUACGUACAAGCAGUGGGAGCACCUUCGGGUGUGACUGCGUACCUUUUGUAUAAUGGGUCAGCGACUUAUAUUCUGUAGCAAGGUUAACCGUAUAGGGGAGCCGCAGGGAAACCGAGUCUUAACUGGGCGUUAAGUUGCAGGGUAUAGACCCGAAACCCGGUGAUCUAGCCAUGGGCAGGUUGAAGGUUGGGUAACACUAACUGGAGGACCGAACCGACUAAUGUUGAAAAAUUAGCGGAUGACUUGUGGCUGGGGGUGAAAGGCCAAUCAAACCGGGAGAUAGCUGGUUCUCCCCGAAAGCUAUUUAGGUAGCGCCUCGUGAACUCAUCUUCGGGGGUAGAGCACUGUUUCGGCUAGGGGGUCAUCCCGACUUACCAACCCGAUGCAAACUACGAAUACCGAAGAAUGUUAUCACGGGAGACACACGGCGGGUGCUAACGUCCGUCGUGAAGAGGGAAACAACCCAGACCGCCAGCUAAGGUCCCAAAGUCAUGGUUAAGUGGGAAACGAUGUGGGAAGGCACAGACAGCCAGGAUGUUGGCUUAGAAGCAGCCAUCAUUUAAAGAAAGCGUAAUAGCUCACUGGUCGAGUCGGCCUGCGCGGAAGAUGUAACGGGGCUAAACCAUGCACCGAAGCUGCGGCAGCGACACUAUGUGUUGUUGGGUAGGGGAGCGUUCUGUAAGCCUGCGAAGGUGUGCUGUGAGGCAUGCUGGAGGUAUCAGAAGUGCGAAUGCUGACAUAAGUAACGAUAAAGCGGGUGAAAAGCCCGCUCGCCGGAAGACCAAGGGUUCCUGUCCAACGUUAAUCGGGGCAGGGUGAGUCGACCCCUAAGGCGAGGCCGAAAGGCGUAGUCGAUGGGAAACAGGUUAAUAUUCCUGUACUUGGUGUUACUGCGAAGGGGGGACGGAGAAGGCUAUGUUAGCCGGGCGACGGUUGUCCCGGUUUAAGCAUGUAGGCUGGUUAUCCAGGCAAAUCCGGAUAAUCAAGGCUGAGGUGUGAUGACGAGGCACUACGGUGCUGAAGUAACAAAUGCCCUGCUUCCAGGAAAAGCCUCUAAGCAUCAGGUAACAUCAAAUCGUACCCCAAACCGACACAGGUGGUCAGGUAGAGAAUACCAAGGCGCUUGAGAGAACUCGGGUGAAGGAACUAGGCAAAAUGGUGCCGUAACUUCGGGAGAAGGCACGCUGGUGUGUAGGUGAAGUCCCUGCGGAUGGAGCUGAGACCAGUCGAAGAUACCAGCUGGCUGCAACUGUUUAUUAAAAACACAGCACUGUGCAAACACGAAAGUGGACGUAUACGGUGUGACGCCUGCCCGGUGCCGGAAGGUUAAUUGAUGGGGUUAUCCGUAAGGAGAAGCUCUUGAUCGAAGCCCCGGUAAACGGCGGCCGUAACUAUAACGGUCCUAAGGUAGCGAAAUUCCUUGUCGGGUAAGUUCCGACCUGCACGAAUGGCGUAAUGAUGGCCAGGCUGUCUCCACCCGAGACUCAGUGAAAUUGAACUCGCUGUGAAGAUGCAGUGUACCCGCGGCAAGACGGAAAGACCCCGUGAACCUUUACUAUAGCUUGACACUGAACAUUGAGCCUUGAUGUGUAGGAUAGGUGGGAGGCUUUGAAGCGUGGACGCCAGUCUGCGUGGAGCCAACCUUGAAAUACCACCCUUUAAUGUUUGAUGUUCUAACGUUGGCCCCUGACCGGGGUUGCGGACAGUGUCUGGUGGGUAGUUUGACUGGGGCGGUCUCCUCCCAAAGCGUAACGGAGGAGCACGAAGGUUAGCUAAUCCUGGUCGGACAUCAGGAGGUUAGUGCAAUGGCAUAAGCUAGCUUGACUGCGAGCGUGACGGCGCGAGCAGGUGCGAAAGCAGGUCAUAGUGAUCCGGUGGUUCUGAAUGGAAGGGCCAUCGCUCAACGGAUAAAAGGUACUCCGGGGAUAACAGGCUGAUACCGCCCAAGAGUUCAUAUCGACGGCGGUGUUUGGCACCUCGAUGUCGGCUCAUCACAUCCUGGGGCUGAAGUAGGUCCCAAGGGUAUGGCUGUUCGCCAUUUAAAGUGGUACGCGAGCUGGGUUUAGAACGUCGUGAGACAGUUCGGUCCCUAUCUGCCGUGGGCGCUGGAGAAUUGAGGGGGGCUGCUCCUAGUACGAGAGGACCGGAGUGGACGCAUCACUGGUGUUCGGGUUGUCAUGCCAAUGGCACUGCCCGGUAGCUAAAUGCGGAAGAGAUAAGUGCUGAAAGCAUCUAAGCACGAAACUUGCCCCGAGAUGAGUUCUCCCUGAGACUAUAAGUCUCCUGAAGGAACGUUGAAGACGACGACGUUGAUAGGCCGGGUGUGUAAGCGCAGCGAUGCGUUGAGCUAACCGGUACUAAUGAACCGUGAGGCUUAACCUUACAACGCCGAAG